RNAcentral lists this ribosomal RNA (494 nucleotides) under uncultured bacterium. RNAcentral describes it as "partial 16S ribosomal RNA". It matches the Rfam family "Bacterial small subunit ribosomal RNA", at positions 28 to 507 of the family's 1533-position model. The record is from RNAcentral.
GACGAACGCUGGCGGCGUGCUUAACACAUGCAAGUCGAACGGAAAGGCCUGCUUUCCCUUGUGGAUUGCGGGUACUCGAGUGGCGAACGGGUGAGUAACACGUGAGUGAUCUGCCCCCAACUUGGGUAUAAGCCUGGGAAACUGGGUCUAAUUCCCGAUAGGACUGCAGGGUGGUGCCUGUGGUGGAAAACGAUUUUCUAGUGGUUGGGGAUGAGCUCGCGGCCUAUCAGCUUGUUGGUGGGGUAAUGGCCUACCAAGGCGGGGACGGGUAGCCGGCCUGAGAGGGUGGACGGCCACAUUGGGACUGAGAUACGGCCCAGACUCCUACGGGAGGCAGCAGUGGGGAAUAUUGCACAAUGGGCGGAAGCCUGAUGCAGCGACGCCGCGUGGGGGAUGACGGCAUUCGGGUUGUAAACUCCUUUCGACCGCGAGGAAGCCACCUGGUUGGAAGGGUGGUGACGGUAGUGGUAGAAGAAGCACCGGCUAACUACGUG